This is a non-coding RNA of Ciona intestinalis (vase tunicate), 889 nucleotides long. NCBI's taxonomy places the organism in Eukaryota, Metazoa, Chordata, Ascidiacea, Phlebobranchia, Cionidae. The record is from RefSeq and is a predicted model, not a curated record.
CAGCACCAAGCACACCGCAGCCGGACGGGCACGAAACGGUAAAUACAUCUUCGCUGGCGUCAUCAGCUCGGAAAUCACACGUCACUACGGAAAUGUGCGGUCAAUGCGGGCACCUGUUGAAAGUUCGGAUAUACAAUCGCUGUGAAGACAAAAGAGUUUUUGUCACUAUCAAGUUUAGUAAGAAGCUCCACACAAAUAUGACGUCAUCUUGUAACGAUCCGUGCCCCAUAACCCCCCGGAUAUGACGUCACAACCAGGCGGACAUAUGACAAGAUAUUCGUUUUCGUGAGUGAAUUCUGCUGUGGCCAAACACGAAACUAAAAACGAUCCAAGCUAUUUUAUAAAUGAGAACCGAAGUUCGUCGAUUCGAAUCCCAGGGUAGCUAAAUGAAACCCAGACGUUUUGGCCAUAUUUUCCUUCUUUUCUACCUUCAAGCGAAAAAUUUUCAUCUCUAGUGACGUCUAGCGACUGUGAUGGAGUUGGUUGAACUGUGUUGUUAAUGGAGUUGGGAUGGAGCGGCACCGGUCGUAUAAAAGACUGAAAUGGGCCUCCUAGGUGUUGGGGUAAUGGGCCAAAUCUGGCCUAAAUCCCAGAUCCUUGACAAGAACCUCGUCCCCUGUCUUUGAAAAGAAAAAGGACCUCACCCUCAAAAAAUAGAAUAGAACAGACGUCCAGCGACUGCAAAUUUUGACAAUUAUUGGAAAAGAUUCUAGUAUUUCGGUAAGUUCACGUGUUCCGCUGUUAUAAUAUAUUUGUUCUGGUUAAUAUAUUUGUCUAAAACACUCCAAGCUUGUUUGUAGGCAUUACCCUUUUAACAAAGAUGUUUAUCAAAUUUAUCCCCAUUAUAUACUAUGGCACUCAUCUAUUAAAAAGCGAAAACAACUAAUUA